UACGGAGGGUGCAAGCGUUAAUCGGAAUUACUGGGCGUAAAGCGCACGCAGGCGGUCUGUCAAGUCGGAUGUGAAAGCUCCGGGCUCAACCUGGGAAUUGCAGCCGAAACUGGCAGGCUAGAGUGUCGUAGAGGUAGGUAGAAUUGCAGGUGUAGCGGUGAAAUGCGUAGAGAUCUGGAGGAAUACCGGUGGCGAAGGCGGCCCCCUGGACAAAGACUGACGCUCAGGUGCGAAAGCGUGGGGAGCAAACAGG
This 253-nucleotide unclassified non-coding RNA is filed under the name uncultured Enterobacteriaceae bacterium. RNAcentral's name for it is "contains 16S-23S intergenic spacer region". It matches the Rfam family "Bacterial small subunit ribosomal RNA", at positions 524 to 776 of the family's 1533-position model. The record is from RNAcentral. Lineage: Bacteria; Pseudomonadati; Pseudomonadota; Gammaproteobacteria; Enterobacterales; Enterobacteriaceae.